RNAcentral lists this ribosomal RNA (57 nucleotides) under Lasiodiplodia theobromae. RNAcentral's name for it is "partial 28S ribosomal RNA". RNAcentral also lists the same sequence under 5 other names. The record is from RNAcentral. Lineage: Eukaryota; Fungi; Ascomycota; Dothideomycetes; Botryosphaeriales; Botryosphaeriaceae.
GGUUGACCUCGGAUCAGGUAGGGAUACCCGCUGAACUUAAGCAUAUCAAUAAGCGGA